This is a non-coding RNA of Chrysemys picta bellii (western painted turtle), 3460 nucleotides long. The record is from RefSeq and is a predicted model, not a curated record. NCBI's taxonomy places the organism in Eukaryota, Metazoa, Chordata, Testudines, Emydidae.
CUCUUUUUUAUUUAUUAGAUAUGGUAACCCUAUGCUAACCUAGCCAGACUAUGGUUCCUUUGUCUUAAAGUGGGUUCCUCUUUUUUGUCUCCUGUUGCAGUUACAUUGGUUUUCCUAUAGAAGAAACUGCUGUCCCUGCUGCCUCUUGAAAAGAGAAUGGAUGGGAGGGCUUAAGAGUCUCGCCUUCCUUGAUAAAGAUCUAAUCAUCACACUGUUGCUGCAUCCCUUAUCAGGGUCCUCUGCUGCGGUUACUAUGGUAUGGUUUGUAGUGAUUUGUAAUACAGAGGUCCCAGCCGGGUUGGGGGCCCCAGUGUGCUAGGUACUGCACAGAUGCAUCAUAGAAAGAAGUCCCUGUCUCCAAUUACAUCUAAUCUUAGCUUAAGCUAAGGCAUGUGGCUGAAACAAGUGGGGAAGAUGGCACUUCGGCCUGGUUCUUGGAGCCCUACGUCUUCCAGACUCCAGGGUUCUGAGCCACAGACAAGGACCUCUUUCUUGCUGCCAUAGUUUCUGCAGGGGCAGGGUUAAGAGCCAAAUACUCUGGCCAACUUUUCCCUUCCCCAGCUAGUGCCAGACGUGUUUUUAACAGUUCCUGCCCUCUUAUUUAACCAAGACAUUUUUUUUUUAGCUAGCUUUUGUCCUUCACAGUCAAACAGUGCCUCUUGCAGUUAGAAAAGCCUUGAAACUCUGCUUAGGAAUUUUAUUACUGCAAAUGAUUCUUAUGAGAGGGGCCCAGGAAGGGGGCCAACAGUUGUAGUUACUUUAGCUUACUGAUUUUAAACUUGUGUUCAGAAGUCCUGUUUGGCAGAAGGGACUUGUCCUCUGAAUAUUAGAGUUCACUACUUGGCCUUUAGCCACUUGCUGAGCAGAAAGAGUAGAAAUAGCCUCACUGAAGUUCCAUGCAAAUCUGUGUAUGAUCUUUCCAGCAUACUUCCACCCAGCUCUACUGUGUAAAUACGUGUAUAUGAGCCGAUGGAUUUUAACUGGUUCCCGUUACUGUAGUAUUUGAGCAUUUGACCAUCUUUAAUGUAGUUAUCCUCACAACAGCCCUAUGAGGUAGGGAAGAGGCACGAAGAGGCUAUGUGACUUGCCCAAGGGUCACACUGGAAGUCUGGGGCAGAACAAGGAACUGGACACGGGUCUCAUGAGUCCCAGGCCAGUUCCCUAAUCACUGGACCAUCCUUCCAGCUCUGAGUGCCAAAAUCAGAUGUUCCUCAAGACACUGCACUCCCCAACUCCUGCUCUUGAUGUGUAGGAUAAAGAUGGACCCUCCACAUCUCUCCCUAGCCCCAAGCUUGCAGACUAGCAUUAGGAGUUUCUCCCCCACCACACUCUCCCUAUCAAACUUUUCCUCGGUAUUUUUCUUUCAGAUGCUCCUGAUGAUGUGUUCAGAACAGGUACACACUUAUGUAAGAAUGCCGCCUCGUUGUUACCUGCUUUGAAGAGAUUUUUAGACAUUGUGUAAAUGGUGUGUCAACACGGCUAAACCACCUUGCUGGAAUUUACCCUUCCCGGGCUGAUAUUUGUGAGCUGAAGUCACUAGUAGAAUUCCAGCCUGACAACUUUUCAACUUUGUUUAAACUUUUAGUCACAACUACUAUCUUCCAUAACAAAGAACGGGACCCUUUCACUAAUUUUUUUUUGGUAUGUUUAUUUCUUAAGUCCCUGCUUGUAAGCAUUGCUUUUAUUCCUGAAGGCUGUGGGAGAUCCCUCUGGGAAUUGUAAUAAGUAGCAGCACUACAAGUCCUCUGAGGCAGGUGUUUGGGGACACACGAGAAACUGCUACAGCGGCGCAGCUGUAGCGUAGACACUUACUACAGUGAUGAAGGGGUUCUUCUGUCACUGCAGUAAAUCCACCCCUCCAAAGGUGCUAGUUAGGUUGACAGAAGAAAUCUUCCAUCAACCUCGUGGUGUCUACACUGGGGGUUAGGCCAUCUUAAUUACAUCAGACAGGGUGUGAAAUUUUUAACAGCUCUGAUACUCCUGCCACUCUCGGCAACAGAAAUUCACUGUUUGUCGUACAUUAGAGAUGCAUUUACAGGUAAAAAUUCUAAUCUAGGUGUCAACGGAAAAGUCUUCUGUAUGCCUAUCACAUAUGUAUGCUCAUGUAGUGAUUGGGGCUGGCCACUUGAAGGAAUCAUGAUCAUAUGCCCUAGGCUGUUAUACACAUUAUCUAGUAGUUGGAGCAAUGGCCACCGGCGUUAUGAUUUCAGGUUUGUAUACCCAGCUCCACAGCUGAUUUACUGUGUACCCAUAAGCAAGUUAUCCAACCUUUGCAAAAGCUUUCCCCAUCUGUAAGAUGGAAAGUCUUGACCACAUUAAAGGGUAUUAGAGGGACACUGCCUACUUCUGCUUUCUAUCAAUAAUAGAUAAAAGAAAAACCCCACCUAUUAGGUAUUAACUGAAAGAUUUUGUUUUUGUUUUCUCAGUCUACUUUGUCACAAAGUCUUUGUGCAUUGUGUGUAUGUGUUCAGUUUCUCCUGUUUUUUUCAUAUGGCAAGAGGGGAGAGCAAAAUGGGGUAAAACCACAAAAUUGGCAUAGGAACUUAGGCAAGUAUAGGAUGUGAAUCUACUUAGGAAUCUCUUCAGAUUGAGUUAUUUGAUGAUGCUUGUAAAGAGUGAUGCUCUUGAUGAGAGGUGCUAUAAAAGCUAUUUUUGGGGUGGGGAAAGACAUUAGGUAGCUUAAAUAAGCUUUGCACACCCUCAUUUCCUUGGACAGAGAUUUUUACAAGCUAAUCUUGAAAUGGUGUCUAGUAUGUUUUAAACUAAAACUGGUUAGACUAGCAAAACCAAUAUCCUAUAGAUGUUGACCCCAAUAUGGCAAGGUUCUUGAGGAUGUGAAGACAAUAGGUAAAGUUGCACAUGGGUAUUUAAGCACCUUAUUGAAUCAGCACUUUAAUGCAAUGAUUGCAUUUCCAUUUCCAAAGAGAUGAAAAAAUACAUACAGCAGAAACCUGUAUCUGGAACAUUUUAUUAAAUACAACAUUACAAAAAUCAGUGCAGACUUGUUAGCUCUUGCCAACUUUUUACUAUAAGAAGGUUUCUGAAGCUAAGAAGCUCAGUGUUUCUUAAAGUUAUAAGACCUUUGGCCCUGAUCCUACACCCACAUAGAGCUUUGGGUCUAGCCACGCAGAAAUCAUUACAGGAUCAGAGCCCUAGAUUCCUGGGCCAUUUUAAAUGGCACCUAUUCAAAUAAAAGACAAAUGGUUAAGCUAAACUGUUGCCAUUAACUGAGUAGGUAUUAUGCAAACACUUUUCCCUAAAUUAAUAGCACUGAGGUAUCCUGAAAGUUACUACUGCUAGUAAAUGUAUAACUCAGCUCUGAUUUUACUGCUGAAUGGAGUUUACACAGAUUUAAGCCUGGAUUCUGCCAAUACCUAUGCAUAGACUACGCAUGUCCUUAAAGUUAGGCAUGUGCAUAAGUCUUGGCAAGGCCUUAGUGAGAAUCUCAUUUAAAUACAGG